GUGAGAUGGAAUCAGCGUUUUGGACAUGCGAUUUUUACGCUGAUUCCAUCUCAUGA
This is a non-coding RNA of Solanum tuberosum (potato), 56 nucleotides long. NCBI's taxonomy places the organism in Eukaryota, Viridiplantae, Streptophyta, Magnoliopsida, Solanales, Solanaceae. The record is from Rfam.